UAGCUAGCAUUGGCACUAUUGAUUUGCAUUUUUUUUUUUUUUUUACAGUGAUCACUACACCAUGGCAGAUGGUGGCGAGUUGGAUAACUAUAUUAUAAUCUAUCCUACUGCCAGUAUGAUUUUUUCUUGCUUGAUGUGAAUUUUAUCGGUGUUUUAAAAGGCAAUCUAGCUACUAUAGCUAGCUAUGUCAAGGGGAUUUAUUAUGCUAUUUAAAUUGUAGUUAAUUGUUUUCCAGCAGCUAGGUCGAUUGCUAUUCAUGUUAUGCUUGUAAAUGAUUAGCUAGUUAUGUUGUACUGUUAUUCAAUCAAUUGUAGCAUUACUAGCUAAAUCUCACUUAGCGACUGAAUUGUUGUUGAGAGAUUCAGCAAGGUAAUGUAACACCAAACAAGUAGGGUGUUAUUUUUGGGUCGCAGCUGCUGGAAAUUCAAAGUUUGGGGGAGGAUAGAGUGUGUGAGAGAUACAGUGAGAAUAGAGAUUGAUGUGUGUGCACCAUUGAUAGUAAAAUAAUGUGCGUGCAUGAGAGAUCCUGUGCGCACUUGUCUGUGGUCAAAGGGCAGCUAUAACAGUUUCUCCCACUGAGACAAGAUACUACUGAGUCAGCAGGUCAACCCAGGACACAUGAGACGUGCAUUGGAUGAGCUGUUGAAGGAGACCAAUAGGGCUGGGUGCAAGCAGAAACCAUGGGUCCAGCAGGCUGGAUGAAGUAUCCGCUGCGCAGCACUAACAAGAGUUUCCUGCUCAACACCAUUCCACAGCGCCGCCCUGCUGGCCACUCAGGAGAACAGACAUCAAAUAGUAGGGGGCAGGACACCACCCAGAGACAAUUGGGAAUACAAAGACCACAGGGGACACAGGGACAAAGACAAUCAUAGAGACAGCCGAGAACUUUGUCUCUUUUGUGUCCAUCUUUAAGACUAAGAUAGCAACACAGGCCAAGACAGCUACAAAGACAGAAGGGACAAUGACAAUGACAGAGGCAGCCAUAGAGACAAGAAACACUGACAUAAAGAGCCUCUGGUCACAAAAGAGACUUUGUCCCCAAAACACACAGUCCCCAUGAAGGACACUCCCCUUCUUCUAGACCAGGGUUUCCCAACCUCGGUCCUGGACCCCCCUGGGGGCAUGUUUUUUUUCCCCCCAGCUGAUUCAAAUAACCAACUCAUCAUCAAGCUUUGAUUAUUUGAAUCAGCUGUCUAGUGUUAUGGCAAAAACCAAAACGUGCACCCAGGAGAGGCCUCAGGACCGAGUUUGGGAAACCCUGUUGUAGAGACCGCUCUCUCCACUGACAGUAGCUCCUCCUCCUCAGUCCACUCCAGGGCAAGCUCUCACUCCAUAGGCCACACCUUCUAUCAAUCAAACCAGUGCAGCAGACCACGCUCACCUGUCAAGGACACGCCCAGUGGAAGGAGCCACGUAUGACAUCAUAACCUUGGAGGGAGUGCUGUAACGUUGUUACCCAGAGGAGCCCCCCCCCCCCCCUCAAAUACAUAAAUAUACCCAUUGAAUGACUGGAAAGAGAGUUUGUUUGUUUUAGAAUGUGAGAAAGACUGUGGUUGCUGUUGUAAGGUUGUGACAAGUAUAACUAAUUAAAUUGUCUUUGUUUCUUCUGA
Salvelinus namaycush (lake trout) is the source of this 1610-nucleotide long non-coding RNA. RefSeq lists it as uncharacterized. The transcript has 3 exons. NCBI's taxonomy places the organism in Eukaryota, Metazoa, Chordata, Actinopteri, Salmoniformes, Salmonidae. The record is from RefSeq and is a predicted model, not a curated record.